RNAcentral lists this ribosomal RNA (445 nucleotides) under uncultured bacterium. RNAcentral's name for it is "bacterial SSU rRNA". It matches the Rfam family "Bacterial small subunit ribosomal RNA", at positions 330 to 792 of the family's 1533-position model. The record is from RNAcentral.
GCCAGACUCCUACGGGAGGCAGCAGUGGGGAAUAUUGCACAAUGGGGGAAACCCUGAUGCAGCGACGCCGCGUGAGUGAAGAAGUAUUUCGGUAUGUAAAGCUCUCUCAGCAGGGAAGAAAAUGACGGUACCUGAUUAAGAAGCCCCGGCUAACUACGUGCCAGCAGCCGCGGUAAUACGUAGGGGGCAAGCGUUAUCCGGAUUUACUGGGUGUAAAGGGAGCGUAGACGGCAGCACAAGUCUGGAGUGAAAUCCCGGGGCUUAACCCCGGAACUGCUUUGGAAACUGUGCGGCUGGAGUGCAGGAGGGGUAAGCGGAAUUCCUGGUGUAGCGGUGAAAUGCGUAGAUAUUAGGAGGAACACCAGUGGCGAAGGCGGCCUGCUGGACGAUGACUGACGUUGAGGCUCGAAAGCGUGGGGAGCAAACAGGAUUAGAUCCCCUGUAA